CAUAUUUCUCCUCCCCUUACCCUUCGUACGUCAGUUACCCAGACGAUGUUUUUCAUCUUUGUAGCAACCGAGGAGUUGGAGCCGUCCCUUCUGUGCUGCGCCUCGCUGCAUCCUCAACCGCACCGCUACUGCCAUCCGCUAACUGCUUGUGCCCACGACGUGCCUCUCUCUUUCUCUCGCCCAAAAAACACGCCAACUGUGCUAUAGCUAGCCUCAAGUACCGUUCGUGUGCAACCCAUUCAAGCACCUCGACGCCCUCCCCCACUCUCCCUCCUCUCUCCAAAACAACCACCACACUUGCGCCCCCUGCCUUCGACGCCCGCGCAGCCAGCACUCGGAGCCACCCCGUCCGGCAUGCGCUAAGCGCGUUGCUGCGCCGUGCGGAGGAGUCCCCGCCGCGCACGCCAUCAUUCGUCGCAUGUCGUCGAACUCUCGCGCCCAGAGCCCCACCGAGCCACCUUCGUUCGAGCUUGCCCCAAGGUCUACGUCUACCCCCUCUUCAUCUUCGUUGUGCGCGGCAUGUCAUGGCUAGGCAUUGGCUGAGCUCUACUCUCCCCUGCGCGCCGCCUUGCUGCUCCGUUCCCGGUCAGCGAUCUCUGCCCGCCCCGGCAAGCCGCCCGCGCAGUCUCGUCGCGCCGCUCCGGCGAGUUCUCACACCACCGCCCUACCUCCCUCGUCGGCGAAGCCCCACCCCGCCAUAUGUGAUGUUGCACGAUCCGCUUUUGCCGGCAUGCAAUAGAGGAAGAAAUCUGCAUUUGUGUCUCUUCCAUCUUGGCCAUGUGUCCACGUUUCGUUGGCUGCAUGUGUGGUCCUGUUACAGCACAUGCGUGAGAUUAGGAAAAGAAAGAACCGCCCGUGACUCCCAUCCCGUGCGUGUGUGUUUCCUGGAGAAGAAAUUGUCUUUCUCUCUCUCCCACUGAUGGUCACGUGACAUUGUUUCAUUGGCUCGCAGUUCGCUGUUCUGUGUUCUUGCCUACACUAGAUCCAGUCUAUUGCACAGGAUGUGGCUACGCCCCUAUGUUCUUUGUGUGGUCCUAGAAUCAAAUCCACGAUUAAAUAUGUGUUAAUUUUUAAGUUAGGCGUCCGAUUAUUCUAUCUUCAGUUGCGUUAGCUUUGUAAUAAUGUCGUGUACACGUUAACAAUAUUAUU
This 1149-nucleotide unclassified non-coding RNA is filed under the name Zea mays. Its description in RNAcentral is "misc RNA Zm00001eb202320". The record is from RNAcentral. Lineage: Eukaryota; Viridiplantae; Streptophyta; Magnoliopsida; Poales; Poaceae.